This 83-nucleotide transfer RNA is filed under the name Schistocephalus solidus. It matches the Rfam family "tRNA". Rfam says of the family: Transfer RNA (tRNA) molecules are approximately 80 nucleotides in length. Their secondary structure includes four short double-helical elements and three loops (D, anti-codon, and T loops). The record is from Rfam by way of RNAcentral. Lineage: Eukaryota; Metazoa; Platyhelminthes; Cestoda; Diphyllobothriidea; Diphyllobothriidae.
GGCCUCGUGGCUCAGUUGGAUAGAGCGUUGGCUUUACUAAAGCCUUCCCCUUGCUGGCUUGGGUUCGAAUCCCACGAAGGCCA